CGAACGAAGAGUUUGAUCCUGGCUCAGGAUGAACGCUGACAGAAUGCUUAACACAUGCAAGUCGACUCGAGUCUUCGGACUUGGGUGGCGCACGGGUGAGUAACGCGUAAAGAACUUGCCUCUUAGACCGGGACAACAUCUGGAAACGGAUGCUAAUACCGGAUAUUAUGGUUUUUUCGCAUGGAGGAAUCAUGAAAGCUAGAUGCGCUAAGAGAGAGCUUUGCGUCCCAUUAGCUGGUUGGUGAGGUAACGGCCCACCAAGGCAAUGAUGGGUAGCCGGCCUGAGAGGGUGAACGGCCACAAGGGGACUGAGACACGGCCCUUACUCCUACGGGAGGCAGCAGUGGGGAAUAUUGGACAAUGGACCGCAAGUCUGAUCCAGCAAUUCUGUGUGCACGAUGACGUUUUUCGGAAUGUAAAGUGCUUUCAGUCGGGAAGAAGUCAGUGACGGUACCGACAGAAGAAGCGACGGCUAAAUACGUGCCAGCAGCCGCG
Molecule: ribosomal RNA, 495 nt
Filed under: Fusobacterium necrophorum
Lineage: Bacteria; Fusobacteriati; Fusobacteriota; Fusobacteriia; Fusobacteriales; Fusobacteriaceae
Description: bacterial SSU rRNA
Rfam family: Bacterial small subunit ribosomal RNA
Source: RNAcentral